This 606-nucleotide ribosomal RNA is filed under the name Bos taurus (domestic cattle). RNAcentral's name for it is "similar to 12S ribosomal RNA". It matches the Rfam family "Bacterial small subunit ribosomal RNA", at positions 25 to 1023 of the family's 1533-position model. The record is from RNAcentral. Lineage: Eukaryota; Metazoa; Chordata; Mammalia; Artiodactyla; Bovidae.
CUUCCUGUUAACUCUUAAUAAACUUACACAUGCAAGCAUCUACACCCCAGUGAGAAUGCCCUCUAGUGUUAUUAAAACUAAGAGUGAGCUGGCAUCAAGCACACACCCUGUAGCUCACUGACGCCUUGCUUAACCACACCCCCACGGGAAACAGCAGUGACAAAAAUUAAGCCAUAAACGAAAGUUUGACUAAGUUAUAUUAAUUAGGGUUGGUAAAUCUCGUGCCAGCCACCGCGGUCAUACGAUUAACCCAAGCUAACAGGAGUACGGCGUAAAACGUGUUAAAGCACCAUACCAAAUAGGGUUAAAUUCUAACUAAGCUGUAAAAAGCCAUGAUUAAAAUAAAAAUAAAUGACGAAAGUGACCCUACAAUAGCCGACGCACUAUAGCUAAGACCCAAACUGGGAUUAGAUACCCCACUAUGCUUAGCCCUAAACACAGAUAAUUACAUAAACAAAAUUAUUCGCCAGAGUACUACUAGCAACAGCUUAAAACUCAAAGGACUUGGCGGUGCUUUAUAUCCUUCUAGAGGAGCUGUUCUAUAAUCGAUAAACCCGAUAAACCUCACAAUUCUUGCUAAUACAGUCUAUAUACCGGCAUCUUCAG